AAUAGAUACCCAGGUAGUCCACGCCGUAACUAUGAGAGCUAGUCGUCGGGCAGCAUGCUGUUCGGUGACGCAGCUAACGCAUUAAGCUCUCCGCCUGGGGAGUACGGCCGCAAGGUUAAAACUCAAAGGAAUUGACGUGGGCCCGCACAAGCGGUGGAGCAUGUGGCUUAAUUCGAAGCAACGCGCAGAACCUUACCAUCCCUUGACUUGGACGUCGCGGGCCGGGAGACCGGUCUUUCAGUUCGGCUGGACGUCACACAGGUGCUGCAUGGCUGUCGUCAGCUCGUGUCGUGAGAUGUUGGGUUAAGUCCCGCAACGAGCGCAACCCUCGCUACUAGUUGCCAGCAUUCAGUUGGGCACUCUAGUAGAACCGCCGGUGAUAAGCCGGAGGAAGGUGGGGAUGACGUCAAGUCCUCAUGGCCCUUACGGGAUGGGCUACACACGUGCUACAAUGGUGGUGACAAUGGGCUAAUCCCAAAAAGCCAUCUCAGUUCGGAUUGGGGUCUGCAACUCGACCCC
RNAcentral lists this ribosomal RNA (519 nucleotides) under uncultured bacterium. RNAcentral's name for it is "bacterial SSU rRNA". It matches the Rfam family "Bacterial small subunit ribosomal RNA", at positions 777 to 1319 of the family's 1533-position model. The record is from RNAcentral.